AGUGAACGCUGGCGGUAGGCCUAACACAUGCAAGUCGAACGGCAGCACAGGAGAGCUUGCUCUCUGGGUGGCGAGUGGCGGACGGGUGAGGAAUACAUCGGAAUCUACUCUGUCGUGGGGGAUAACGUAGGGAAACUUACGCUAAUACCGCAUACGACCUACGGGUGAAAGCAGGGGACCUUCGGGCCUUGCGCGAUUGAAUGAGCCGAUGUCGGAUUAGCUAGUUGGCGGGGUAAAGGCCCACCAAGGCGACGAUCCGUAGCUGGGCUGAGAGGAUGAUCAGCCACACUGGAACGGAGACACGGUCCGGACUCCUACGGGAGACAGCAGUGGGGAAUAUUGGACAAUGGGCGCAAGCCUGAUCCAGCCAUACCGCGUGGGUGAAGAAGGCCUUCGGGUUGUAAAGCCCUUUUGUUGGGAAAGAAAUCCAGCUGGCUAAUACCCGGUUGGGAUGACGGUACCCAAAGAAUAAGCACCGGCUAACUUCGUGCCAGCCGCCGCGGUAA
Molecule: ribosomal RNA, 506 nt
Filed under: uncultured bacterium
Lineage: Bacteria
Description: partial 16S ribosomal RNA
Rfam family: Bacterial small subunit ribosomal RNA
Source: RNAcentral